Non-coding RNA from Peromyscus maniculatus bairdii (prairie deer mouse), 1551 nucleotides. The record is from RefSeq and is a predicted model, not a curated record. NCBI's taxonomy places the organism in Eukaryota, Metazoa, Chordata, Mammalia, Rodentia, Cricetidae.
UUUCCUGUGUACUCAGACUGAAGCAGACUUUGCACUUCUCUAGCUGCGGGCUGUCCGGAUGCUGGAACUCAAAGGGCUGGAAGACGCAGAGAACAGAAGCCCAAACCCAAAGGUUGCACACUCACGUGGGCACGCAAACCCGCAGAUUUUAUGAGCUCAUGAAUAAACGUGAAAAGGAUGCGAGGCUGGCGACAAAGACUGAAGAGGGGAAUGAAUCAGCGCGCCUGCCUUCGGCAGACACUCUCCCCUGCCUAUGGGAUCGGCUCACUGCUCUGCAUGAAGACUGGACCACAGUUAUGUGUGACAUGGCGCUGAACAAUUCCCAUCCGAGGCAACGGACUAGGAAUGCUGCUCAGCCCACGGUGCAACAAAAAUGUAUGAAAUCGCAUUAGCAGAAAAACAAGAUUUCUGGGUCUUAUCACAGAAAGGCUUUUGCACCUCCUAGACGAAUGUUCACCUCUAAUUGAACAAGUGUUACCGUCUUUAUUCCUACCUGAAAGUGCCUUUUACAAGUCAUAAUUAAACGCAGGUUCUUUAUAAUCCCAUCAUGAUGGGAUCUUUAGCGCCUGAAUGCCCUGUUCAUUAGCAGGAUAUUUAGGGCUUUUUUUUUUUUUCAGGGCUUAAUUUGACUACAAUUCAUUUGCAUGCCCUGAAUAUGCAUUUUAAAUCUGAACAAGAACUCCAUUUAGCGGCUUUCUAAAACAAGUUCUGCAAGGCAGGAGUCUACAAUCCUAGCAAAACAAACACUGCAUAAGACUCCAUCUGUGGUUGAAAGGAAAAAAUAUCUCAGCAGCAGGGAAAAUAAAAAUAAGAAACCCAUCAGGCAUUCUCCAGAUGAAUAUUGAAAAGUGUUAAGAGAGUAGACAAUUAAGAAUGGCAAUUUUCAAAACUUGAUGUCUUACCACGAGAAUGCCCCUGGUAGGAAAGUUCUGCGGAACUUUAGGGGACCGGUCAUUUCUCAGACGCUGUGGUAGACAGCACCCACCACACAACAGACUUCGGGCCUAUGAGAGGCUUAAAGGGGUUAAGUUGGUUAAAAUUCAGUACUGCUUUGAUGAGAAAACAUUAUGCGUUCUACUCGCUGGCUGUUACAUUUGGAAAGCUUUUAGGUAGAACAGUUAAUUUAGCAGACCCAACAAGCUCAAACACGAAGUUAUUAAAUGAUAGGAAGUUUGUAAAAGAGACGCUUCUUGCGAUGUAAGUGUGGUGGACCGGACUUCUGCCCCGACUCGCCCCACCACCCCCGGCACCCCACCCCACCCCACCCCAUCUAACCCCGCUCCCCGAGAAGACUGAUUCUUUCUUCAAUUGAUCCUUGCUCAUAAAGGGCCAGAAGCAAGCAAAUGACUUCUGAGGCUAGUCUAGCACUAUGACUGUUAGUUCUCUGCCUCUCCGAAGGAUUCUCAGGCACCUGGACAAUUCCAGGGACAAUUCCAGAGCCCCAGGUUUCUUAGGCAAAGAGGUUGGCUAGCUGCUUGUUGGCCUGGAUUCCUUCAACUGUAAAAUCCUUCACUUCUCUUCAGAGAAUAAAAGUGUGACCCUUGGGGGAAA